AGAGUUUGAUCCUGGCUCAGAGCGAACGCUGGCGGCAUGCUUAACACAUGCAAGUCGCACGGUAUGGGGGCAACUCCAUGCAGUGGCGGACGGGUGAGUAACGCGUAGGAAUCUAUCCUUGGAUGGGGGACAACCGUGGGAAACUACGGCUAAUACCGCAUGAUGCCUGAGGGCCAAAGCUCGCGAGAGCGUCUGGGGAGGAGCCUGCGUCUGAUUAGGUAGUUGGUGGGGUAAAGGCCUACCAAGCCUGCGAUCAGUAGCUGGUCUGAGAGGAUGAUCAGCCACAUUGGGACUGAGACACGGCCCAAACUCCUACGGGAGGCAGCAGUGGGGAAUAUUGGACAAUGGGGGCAACCCUGAUCCAGCAAUGCCGCGUGGGUGAAGAAGGUUUUCGGAUUGUAAAGCCCUUUUGGCGGGGACGAUGAUGACGGUACCCGCAGAAUAAGCUCCGGCUAACUUCGUGCCAGCAGCCGCGGUAAUACGAAGGGGGCUAGCGUUGCUCGGAAUGACUGGGCGUAAAGGGCGCGUAGGCGGCUUGCAUAGUUAGGCGUGAAAUUCCUGGGCUCAACCUGGGGACUGCGUCUAAUACAUGCAGGCUUGAGUGUGAAAGAGGGUCGUGGAAUUUCCAGUGUAGAGGUGAAAUUCGUAGAUAUUGGAAAGAACACCGGUGGCGAAGGCGGCGACCUGGUUCAUUACUGACGCUGAGGCGCGAAAGCGUGGGGAGCAAACAGGAUUAGAUACCCUGUAGUCC
This 751-nucleotide ribosomal RNA is filed under the name uncultured bacterium. Its description in RNAcentral is "bacterial SSU rRNA". It matches the Rfam family "Bacterial small subunit ribosomal RNA", at positions 8 to 796 of the family's 1533-position model. The record is from RNAcentral.